AGUUCUGGAAGAGGAAAUUCUGCAAACCAAAUCUGAACUCAGGAAAGGGAGGUACUAGCAAACUUGCUGUGCUGAAGUAAAACACAAAAGGCCCGUCUUUGCAAUUGUGCCCGAUUGAACAUUACCAGUAAAUGCAGAAGUGUGGAGCCAGACUGGUACAAAGCAGUACACAGACAAGAGAGAAGAUCUUUGUCUUACUGGGCCUCUUCACUGGGACUGAACAAAGAGGUGGCAUCGUAACCUUUACUGCAAAGCAGAGUUCAAUACAGGCAAAG
Molecule: long non-coding RNA, 275 nt
Organism: Athene cunicularia (burrowing owl)
Lineage: Eukaryota; Metazoa; Chordata; Aves; Strigiformes; Strigidae
Exons: 3
Source: RefSeq, a predicted model, not a curated record